AUCAUAUGAUUCUCUACUAACGCUCCACAGUUUAGAGGAGUUAAAAAUAGGGAACAAGCUUGAAACCUCUCUCCCACCCUGGAUUAGUGGUCUUCGACUUGAAAGGCUCGAAUUACAAGGAUACACUUGGCUCGAGUCACUCCCGGAUUUGUCAAGCCUGACUAAUUUGAAGGUAUUAACACUUCGUAAUUGUGAAAAGUUGAAUGAUAUUGGAGGCAUCAAGGGAAUAAAGUCUUUGAAACACCUGUACAUGGGAAACUGCUACACCAUAACAAAUGCUAGAAGGAAGAUAUUUGGCCAGGGAACACUUCUAGUGGAUUAUGUUGGGUUACACACAAGUGAAUAUUCGUUGAAUGUUGAUGAUGGGGUAUGUAAGGGGUUUAUUCUGUGUAUUGUUUUUGCAUUCACCCAGCCCAAUCAGGAACAAGUGGAGGUAUGCCCAGAGGGUGAGCUACUGAACGACUUUGAGUUCCUUCUUGACGCUCGUAUCCAUCGAAAACAUGGUAGCUAUUUCGAUUGUACCAUUUGGCUGCCGAUGAAGGGUGUUAAAUUAACUACUGAGCGAGAUUCAAUAUACAUUCACCAUUUCAAAGGGUCUGACUUGUUUGGGAUUCCAUUGGAAGGAACAAAUGCAAUUGAUAUAUGGCAUGUUUCAAGUUCAGUGUCCAUCGAGUACCAGAAUCAUAGGUAUUGGCUCCGUUGUAAAGUGAAAUUCUUGAAGGUCUUAUUAUUGGAAAGCAGGGAAUGGGAGGAGCAGGAAAGUGAGGUGAGGAAGAUGGUAGCAGAUUUCUUCAAAUGGACAUCACAAUCAUCAGAUGGUGAUGAUGAUAAUGAAACUUCUUCAUUUGGUGAUGAUGAUGAUGAAUCUUUAUAUGAUGAUUGUGAAUCUUCAUUUCUUGAUGAUGAUGGAUCUCUAUUUGCCCUUGAUUAAAGAAGUGAGAGAGACCAAUAAAAUGAUACGCAGCACACAUGUCUUUGCCUGGAAACAAGGAGUGGAGUUUUAUCUACAGAAAAUACAGAUGGGAGUGAACCAACAGAGUGGAAUGGAGGUGUCUGACUUUCAGUUGGUGAGAAGUUCUAAUGAAGUAGAAUCAAGCAGUGCAUGUCUUGGCUGUGAAAUUGACGAUCUUGGGCUGGAAAAUGGUGACAUGGGAGUUCAAUUCAUCUAGAUUUUGUAAGGGCCUUCAAGGUUCAGAGAAGUCAAAUUCCAAUGGUAUGAAGUAGUAUUCCUGUGAAAAUUUUGAUAAAGUUAAAGAUGGGUUGUAAUAAAUGUCAAAAAUUAUUGUGACAUUUAAUUUCCUCAGGAGGUCAUGCUCUUCUUGUCAAGUUAAAAUUGAAUCAAUGCAGAAGAUGAUACAGUCAAGACUCAACAAUCUGUGGUGUAUGUUUUAGUUCUCUAUUGAACAGCACCUCAAUCUCAAUUUGAUGAACUGCCUGCUAAGCUCAAGAACAAGCUCAUCUUUGUUGCCAAUGCAAAGGGAUUAUGGACCGUCCAGAAUAUGUGGCCUCCCUCAUAUUCCUCUUCCGCAAUGUACUUGCUAUCUUCACUAGCUUCUACCUCUACAACGACACUAUUCAAAGAAGGAACAGGUUCAGGUUAAUUGGUCCAGGAACUGUCAUCAACGACAGUUUCUAACUUUUUAUCGCAUUGAUGUUAUAGGUGGCUGCAGCUGCUGCUGUCUGUGGAAUGAAAAGCGAAAACUUGAUGUGUUAAGUCCCGGGUUCUAAUUCAAAAAAUAUGGAAGCGACGGAGAAUUGUUUUUAGCACCAUAAGAAAGGCAUGUACUUGAUGUGAUUAAGAGGUUUUGUUUUGUUUUUUUUGUUUUUUUUUUUUUUAAUGUGGUUAAUGCACAAUUGGGUUGGCAAUCUGAGCUAAGUGGGUUUUAAGUUUUAUUUAUUGAAACAGUAUAUUUUUCACCCUCUUUUA
Molecule: long non-coding RNA, 1927 nt
Organism: Macadamia integrifolia
Lineage: Eukaryota; Viridiplantae; Streptophyta; Magnoliopsida; Proteales; Proteaceae
Exons: 5
Source: RefSeq, a predicted model, not a curated record